RNAcentral lists this non-coding RNA (30 nucleotides) under Mus musculus (house mouse). Lineage: Eukaryota; Metazoa; Chordata; Mammalia; Rodentia; Muridae. The record is from RNAcentral.
UGGUUUCAUUGAUAUGGCCCAAUUGUGAUC